Molecule: RNase P RNA, 308 nt
Filed under: Burkholderiaceae bacterium
Lineage: Bacteria; Pseudomonadati; Pseudomonadota; Betaproteobacteria; Burkholderiales; Burkholderiaceae
Description: RNase P RNA component class A
Rfam family: Bacterial RNase P class A
About the family: Ribonuclease P (RNase P) is a ubiquitous endoribonuclease, found in archaea, bacteria and eukarya as well as chloroplasts and mitochondria. Its best characterised activity is the generation of mature 5'-ends of tRNAs by cleaving the 5'-leader elements of precursor-tRNAs.
Source: RNAcentral
AAAGUCCGCCGGGCAACCGCGUCUUCGUUCGCGAAGCCGAGGAAAGUCCGGACUCCGCAGAGCGACGUAGCAGGUAACGCCUGCCCACCGCGAGGUGAGGAUCAGAGCAACAGAGACGAGCCGAUUCAGUUCGGGUGAAACGGGCAAUCUCUACGCGGAGCAACACCAAAUAGGCGGCCGGCGAUCCUGCUCGGGGAGGCCGCGGGUAGGUGGCUUGAGCCGGCGGGUGACCGCCGGCCGAGAGGAAUGGUUGCCACGGUGUUCGCAAGGACGCCGAACAGAAUCCGGCUUACAGGCGGACUUUGCAC